GACGAACGCUGGCGGCGUGCUUAACACAUGCAAGUCGAACGGAAAGGCCCUGCUUUUGUGGGGUGCUCGAGUGGCGAACGGGUGAGUAACACGUGAGUAACCUGCCCUUGACUUUGGGAUAACUUCAGGAAACUGGGGCUAAUACCGGAUAUGAGCUCCUGCUGCAUGGUGUGGGUUGGAGAGUUUCGGCGGUUGGGGAUGGACUCGCGGCUUAUCAGCUUGUUGGUGGGGUAGUGGCUUACGAAGGCUUUGACGGGUAGCCGGCCUGAGAGGGUGACCGGCCACAUUGGGACUGAGAUACGGCGCAGAAUCCUACGGGAGGCAGCAGUGGGGAAUAUUGCACAAUGGGCGGAAGCCUGAUGCAGCAACGCCGCGUGCGGGAUGACGGCCUUCGGGUUGUAAACCGCUUUCGCCUGUGACGAAGCGUGAGUGACGGUAAUGGGUAAAGAAGCACCGGCUAACUACGUG
RNAcentral lists this ribosomal RNA (468 nucleotides) under uncultured bacterium. RNAcentral's name for it is "partial 16S ribosomal RNA". It matches the Rfam family "Bacterial small subunit ribosomal RNA", at positions 28 to 507 of the family's 1533-position model. The record is from RNAcentral.